GACGAACGCUGGCGGCGUGCCUAAUACAUGCAAGUUGAGCGCUGAAGGUUGGUACUUGUACCAACUGGAUGAGCAGCGAACGGGUGAGUAACGCGUGGGGAAUCUGCCUUUGAGCGGGGGACAACAUUUGGAAACGAAUGCUAAUACCGCAUAAAAACUUUAAACACAAGUUUUAAGUUUGAAAGAUGCAAUUGCAUCACUCAAAGAUGAUCCCGCGUUGUAUUAGCUAGUUGGUGAGGUAAAGGCUCACCAAGGCGAUGAUACAUAGCCGACCUGAGAGGGUGAUCGGCCACAUUGGGACUGAGACACGGCCCAAACUCCUACGGGAGGCAGCAGUAGGGAAUCUUCGGCAAUGGACGAAAGUCUGACCGAGCAACGCCGCGUGAGUGAAGAAGGUUUUCGGAUCGUAAAACUCUGUUGGUAGAGAAGAACGUUGGUGAGAGUGGAAAGCUCAUCAAGUGACGUAACUACCC
RNAcentral lists this ribosomal RNA (473 nucleotides) under Lactococcus lactis. Its description in RNAcentral is "bacterial SSU rRNA". It matches the Rfam family "Bacterial small subunit ribosomal RNA", at positions 28 to 484 of the family's 1533-position model. Lineage: Bacteria; Bacillati; Bacillota; Bacilli; Lactobacillales; Streptococcaceae. The record is from RNAcentral.